AAAAACAGUUAGUUUAGGAAAACAGUGUCCAAGGUGAUGUGGUUGUUUGGCCACUUGCAUAGCAACAGCGGCAUGGAGAUUUAGGGCAAAUCAAAAAUAUCAUCUUAAAUGGCCAUUUAAGAAAGAAAGAAAAAAAUCCAGUUCCACUCUGGUCUCACAGUCAACUUGCCUAUGCCAUGAAGCUUAGCAGGAAGUUGACUAGUCACGUGACAAUAACAAUACGCCUCCAAGACAGGUCAGGAACCCAGCCGGUCUUGCAGCAAACUAGCAGCUGUUCAUCAAGCGUGUAGAAAUAUUUCACUACAGAUGAAAGACCUUACUAGCGUGACAUGCGGAAUAUGCAGCAUCCUGCUGGGCGUGGGUGCUUCCCAUUACUAUGGGGCGAGGGUGUCUGGUCUAGCCUACAUGUCUAAGUAACAUCCACAUGAAUGCCAGCCAACGAUGCCCCAGCACCGACACACUCCCACGGCCUCUAACCUCCAGGACUCUGACGUAGCCAUUCUCAGCGCUGAGGUGGAGGCAGGACUUUCCGCAGUUGUUCUUCACAUUGACGUCUGCCCCCAGAUUGA
Molecule: long non-coding RNA, 569 nt
Organism: Mugil cephalus (flathead mullet)
Lineage: Eukaryota; Metazoa; Chordata; Actinopteri; Mugiliformes; Mugilidae
Exons: 3
Source: RefSeq, a predicted model, not a curated record